Molecule: ribosomal RNA, 253 nt
Filed under: uncultured bacterium
Lineage: Bacteria
Description: partial 16S ribosomal RNA
Rfam family: Bacterial small subunit ribosomal RNA
Source: RNAcentral
UACGAGGGGAGCUAGCGUUAUUCGGAAUUACUGGGCGUAAAGCGCACGUAGGCGGCUUUGUAAGUUAGGGGUGAAAUCCCGGAGCUCAACUCCGGAAUUGCCUCUAAGACUGCAUCGCUUGAAUCCAGGAGAGGUGAGUGGAAUUCCGAGUGUAGAGGUGAAAUUCGUAGAUAUUCGGAAGAACACCAGUGGCGAAGGCGGCUCACUGGACUGGUAUUGACGCUGAGGUGCGAAAGCGUGGGGAGCAAACAGG